Molecule: long non-coding RNA, 4440 nt
Organism: Manis pentadactyla (Chinese pangolin)
Lineage: Eukaryota; Metazoa; Chordata; Mammalia; Pholidota; Manidae
Exons: 2
Source: RefSeq, a predicted model, not a curated record
UAUAUGUAUGUAUGUGUGUGUGUGUGUAUGUACUUAAUAAUAUAAUGAAAACCCUAUCUCUACUGAAACAGAGCCAAAGCAAAAAGUCUACAUUCCAAUUAAUUCCAUACCUAAUUUGAAUCUCAAAGUACUUGAGGAGAUGUAAUUUAAAUGCAGAUACCUUUUUAUUCUUAAGAAUACCUGAUUUACUGGUAAGAAGCAACUACAGAGCACCCUCCUUGUAAGCUGAGCGUUGCUUCUUAAAUUGAAGGCACUAAAGAUGAAGAUUGCUAAAUAUUUUAAGAAGUGUAUUUGGUGUGUAUGACUUGAACUGAAAAGCAUUCUGAUUUUCACAUUCUUUUAUAGGUGCUGAGGAAGAAUUGCUUUGACAUGAAUGUAUAACAGAAUUAAUUUAAGGUUUUACAUUUUUGGAAGCUGUUCUCAAGCUGCUUUUGGGAUUUUUUAUUGUAAUACUGUUAUUAGAUAGCUUGUUGGAAGCGCCUAAUAGAUGAAACUGAAGAUCUUAACACGCAUUUCUUUCAUUUUUGACAGCAAACUGUCAAAAAAGCUUAGAGUUUAGCUGGCAAACACAACUGAGGUUGGGUUUGUAACUCACUGUUCCUAUAGUCUAAUUUUAAAGUAUUGUGACUGAAAGGGCUUGAAGCACAGAUUCACUCGGGAUAUGUUUGAGUGCACUGUAUGUAGUCCCAUCCCUGCCAUGGAUGCUGCAAGAGCUGCUGGAGAUUCGAAUUUGACCCUGAUGUCUGGGAAGUGACACCAGCCUACGGAGCUGCGUGGUGCAGAUCUAUCUAUCUCUCAUCUAGAAGAACGUGGCCAGAGACAAUCCUGACUUCUGAAUGUGAAGUGGCUGGAAGAGUGGGGCUGCUGACAAUGCAGAAAAUGCUGGGACUGGAUCUCCAUGGAGACCUGCGGAUUCCAGCAAGUUCCAUUUCCAGGAACACCGUCCCCAGCUAAAGGGAGUUGUGCAUCUGUGAAGUCAACCACUUUGUGCCAUUUAUUUCUAAUAGGGCCUCAUAACAAGUGUUAGGUAUUCUUGGGUAUGUUUCAAGAUGGAGAAAUCUACUGAUUUAAUGCUCAGGAGUUCGUUAUCUCUUUAUCAUGUGUGUAUACAAAGUUAUAUAAACUAGGGAGAACCGUUUACCAGAGGCGGUGUAAGGAAGUGCCGUUUUCGCAUCCUUUUUGGAUGCUUUUCCCACAUUAUUAAAGGCUGCAGAGUCCCUUUUCGUUUUUCUCUGGUAAUAAUAAUUCAGCCUGUUGUUCUUAGUGGAGGGGGAAAAAAUAAAUCACACUGCUAACCUUGUGAGAGGAGGAAUUUAACAAAGCUCAAGCUUUCAGAUGGGCUCAAGAUUCAGUAAUAGAAGCCUUGACUUAGAAGCAUUAGGGAUAAUUUUUCUUCAUGUCCUUGAAUAUCAGUGGCAGCUCUUAAAACUUAGUAAAGUGAUGCUGGUGAUCUUUCCCAUUAAUCAUGGUCCGUGUUCUUGACACGCAUUCAUGAUUCUGGGUUCAUGACAUGUUCACCAUCGGUCCGUGCAAGCCCCUCUCGCAGGCUUUCUAUGUUUUUGAAACAUGGCCAAACAACACUCAGUAUGCUCCUUCACUUAGAGUUGCUUGUUUUUUUUCUAUUAAGUUUUUUUUUUUAAUUAGGUAAUACAUGCACAUGUUUCAGAAUUUAAAAGAUACAAAAGAGUCAAGAGCACAGGGUAAGAGCCCGGCUUUUGCCUGUCACCUGGCUACCUAUUUUCCCUCUUCAGCAUCAGUUGAUGUAACUAACCUAUGUCUUAGCAGAGAUGUUCUCUGUAUCUGUACAUAUAUGUAUAGACUGAUGUCUGUUUUAUCCUCAUGCAUAUUACAGCACAUUAUUCCCAUCAUUCUGUACCUUGCUGUUCUCACUGCUCUUGGCCCAGGGAGCACAGAACUGAAACAGAGGGAGCUGGAGGAUCCCAUGUACCAUGUUUUCAAGCUGUUUUAGAUGGAGAUGUGACUGUGACAGCUGCUGGUAGUCAACGUUGGCUCCAUGCUGAGGCCCAUGCAAGGAUCUGUCUUUGCCUUCCACCCCCCAAAUAAAAUUUCCUAAGGUAGAGGUGCUCAUUGUUUUUAAAAGGACAACAAAGAAAGGAAAGAAAAGUGAUCAGUGAUCCUCCUAGCAAGGAUGUUCUAUCAGUUAGUUUAGACUGGGUUAUACUGUGAUAACGAGCACCCUAAUCUCAGCUGCUUACAACAAAGAUUUCAUUCUGUUUCUCUUUCACAUCCACUGUGGGUGAGCAAGAGGUUCUGCUUAUUUAAUUGCUUGGGGACCAAGGCCGUGGAGCAGCAGCCCUUUCUGAUAUUGCUGCUCCCUGUGCCGGAGGAAAAAGUGCUGUGAGGGCCUUAAACCAACAAUUAAAUGCUCAUUUCUACUCAUAGUGCAUUGGCCAGAAUAAGUCACAGGGUCCCAUCCUGCCACAGAGGGGCAGGAAUGUACCCUGUUAGUCAGGGAGACAGAAAUAUUUAGUGAACAGGAAGCAUUAAUGUCUACCACAUUUAGCUUUUUAGAUUUUUCAGUGUGUAUUUAUAUACGUAGAUAUCUCUAUAGAGAGAGAUGUUUUUACAUUAACAAGGUAAGCCCUAUAAAUACUACUGUUGUUUUUUCUACUUCAUAUUCAAUAAUGGAAUUUUUCAUUGUCCUAAAUACAUGUCCACAUACAUAUUUCUCAGUGGAUGCAUCAUAUUGCAUAGUACAGAUAUAUAAUAAUUUGUUUCCUUGUGGCUCCCCUACUGAGGAAAAUGUCCAUGCAUUCAUUUGCAUAAAAUUGGGUAGAUAAUUUUAGAGGUGGUAGACCUCCCCCAGCCAAGCCAUGAAUUCCUGUCACAGUACUAGGUUGUACGUAUAAGUUGUAUUUAGAAUAAGCCUUCUUUAUGCUGUUCAUCCUCUCAUAAAGUACCUUCUUACAAUUUUUUUAACUUGGUGUUUUGGAGAGAACCAUAUAUUCACAUGGUUCUGAGAGAAAUGUAAAGUGAACAGCCUCUGCUCGGCCCCUCCCAGCCCAUGUCUGUCUUAGUUUCCUCCAGCCCGCUAUCCCCCAGAGGUUUUAGUUUCUUAUGUUUACCUUGAUUUCUAAAAAAUGCAUUUGCAUGAAAUACAGAUUCUUUUAAAAAUUACUUUAACCAUUUUUAUUUUGGGAUAAUUUGAGAUUUACAGAAGAUUUGCAGAGAUUACACAGAGAGCUCACCUGUUUCCCCUAACAUUAACCCUGCUUUACCAUAGUACAUUUGCCAAAACCAAGAGGCCAUCAUUGAUGCAACUGCUAACUAAACUACAGACCUUAUUUGGAUUCCUCCACAUUUUUCAUAAAUACCUUUUUUCUGUCCCAGGAUACUUGGAUUUAAUAGAUUUUUUUGAAUUGAAAGAUAGCACAUUCUACCCAUAUAGUUCUAAACCUUGCUGUUCUUGACAGAUACCAUAUUUCACUGAUUCUACAAUACAAUAGAAUGUAUUAUUUUAAGUACUACAAAGAAAGGAAACAAGGUGCCAAUAAUAACUAAGUCACAGAUUUUAAGAUGUAGCAUCAUUUCAGAGAUACUCAAAUGUGAAAAAUAUACAUCUUAGUAUUGAUGGGUUGGAAUGUAUCUUGGAAAGCUUUUAAUUUGAUUUCAUAGAGACCUCCUCAUUCUUUUUUCAUAGCUGCAUGGAAUUUCCAUUUUAUAGUGCACAUAAGAUUGUUCAUCAAACCCUUACUUAUACUCAUUUGGAUUGUUUUCAGUCUUUAGCUAUAAAAAAUAAUGCUGUACUGAAUAUGUCAUUCUAUAUGUAUAGAUGUGUAUAGGGGAUGACUUUUCAAAAGUGAACUGCUGAGUUAGAGCUAUAUAUAUUUUUAAUUUUGAUAGAUGUUAUCUGCAUUUAUUUACAGUACCACCAGCAGUGCAUGAGAGGACUUGUUUAUAACUUCACCAAAUGAGUGGGUUACCAAACUUUUAGAUUUUUGCCAGUCUGACAGGUAGAAAAUCGUAGUCUCAAUGUCAUUUGUAUUUCUCUUGUGAGCACAGGUUGAAUUUCUGAAAACUGGCUCUAAAUAAUACCCUUUGCCCGUUUUUCUAUUGGGCUGUACUGGCUGUUUCCAAAUUAUGUACAUUAGUUCUUUAAAUUAGGGAAAUUAUCUGUGAUAAUUUGCAAUUAUGUUUUCUGUUUGUCAUUGGUGUUUUAAAUUUCUUAACAGCUGUGGGGAGGUGUGUUUGUCAUGCAAAAUUUAUAGGUGAACCUGCUAAUCUUUUCUCUUAGGCUUCUGGAUUUUAAGUCCUAGCUGGACUCCACAAAUUUAUUAAGGAAUUCUCAUGUGUUUCUUCCAUUUCUCCUGUCCUGGCCUUUAAUCCUGUUUUGCUCCCACAUUUUACUUAUAUCAUUAACCUGUCGUACAUUGUUAUUUUAUUAAGUAACUAUAUUAAAACUGUCAUCUUUUAAAGAGA